RNAcentral lists this ribosomal RNA (497 nucleotides) under uncultured bacterium. Its description in RNAcentral is "partial 16S ribosomal RNA". It matches the Rfam family "Bacterial small subunit ribosomal RNA", at positions 28 to 507 of the family's 1533-position model. The record is from RNAcentral.
GAUGAACGCUGGCGGCGUGCCUAAUACAUGCAAGUCGAGCGAACAGACGAGGAGCUUGCUCCUCUGACGUUAGCGGCGGACGGGUGAGUAACACGUGGAUAACCUACCUAUAAGACUGGGAUAACUUCGGGAAACCGGAGCUAAUACCGGAUAAUAUAUUGAACCGCAUGGUUCCAUAGUGAAAGACGGUUUUGCUGUCACUUAUAGAUGGAUCCGCGCCGCAUUAGCUAGUUGGUAAGGUAACGGCUUACCAAGGCGACGAUGCGUAGCCGACCUGAGAGGGUGAUCGGCCACACUGGAACUGAGACACGGUCCAGACUCCUACGGGAGGCAGCAGUAGGGAAUCUUCCGCAAUGGGCGAAAGCCUGACGGAGCAACGCCGCGUGAGUGAUGAAGGUCUUCGGAUCGUAAAACUCUGUUAUUAGGGAAGAACAAAUGUGUAAGUAACUAUGCACGUCUUGACGGUACCUAAUCAGAAAGCCACGGCUAACUACGUG